AAGGGGUGCCACCAUCAGGUGGCCGCAGAGAAUAGGCCCAAGCGACUGUUUACCAAAAACAUAGGUUUCUGCUAAGUCGCAAGACGAUGUAUAGGAGCUGACGCCUGCCCGGUGCUGGAAGGUUAAGGGGAUCUGUUAGAGUAAUCGAAGCAGUGAACUUAAGCCCCAGUAAACGGCGGCCGUAACUAUAACGGUCCUAAGGUAGCGAAAUUCCUUGUCGGGUAAGUUCCGACCCGCACGAAAGGCGUAACGAUUUGGGCACUGUCUCAACAACAGACUCGGUGAAAUUGUAAUUCCGGUGAAGAUGCCGGAUACCUGCGACAGGACGGAAAGACCCCAUGGAGCUUUACUGUAGCUUGACAUUGGGUCUUGGUACUACAUGUACAGGAUAGGUGGGAGGCUUUGAAACCAGGACGCCAGUUUUGGCGGAGCCAUCCUUGGGAUACCACCCUUGUAGUACUGGGACUCUAACCAUAGGCCAUGAAUCUGGUCUUGGGACACUGUCAGGUGGGCAGUUUGACUGGGGCGGUCGCCUCCCAAAAGGUAACGGAGGCGCUCAAAGGUUCUCUCAGUACGGUCGGAAAUCGUACGUAGAGUGUAAAGGCAAAAGAGAGCUUGAUUGCAAGACAUACAGGUCGAGCAAGGAUGAAAAUCGGACUUAGUGAUCCGGUGGUUCUGCGUGGAAGGGCCAUCGCUCAACGGAUAAAAGCUACCCUGGGGAUAACAGGCUUAUCUCCCCCAAGAGUCCACAUCGACGGGGAGGUUUGGCACCUCGAUGUCGGCUCAUCACAUCCUGGGGCUGUAGUAGGUCCCAAGGGUUGGGCUGUUCGCCCAUUAAAGUGGUACGCGAGCUGGGUUCAGAACGUCGUGAGACAGUUCGGUCCCUAUCCGUCGCAGGCGUAGGAAAUUUGAGAAGACCUGUCCUUAGUACGAGAGGACCGGGAUGGACG
RNAcentral lists this ribosomal RNA (950 nucleotides) under Clostridioides difficile. Its description in RNAcentral is "partial 23S ribosomal RNA". It matches the Rfam family "Bacterial large subunit ribosomal RNA", at positions 1743 to 2703 of the family's 2925-position model. Lineage: Bacteria; Bacillati; Bacillota; Clostridia; Peptostreptococcales; Peptostreptococcaceae. The record is from RNAcentral.